CUUGCCUUUGCAAAUAAAGGGAUACGCCAUAUCAUGGUUCAAAUGUACAGCAAAACAAAAAGAAAAGAAAAAGAGAAAGGUGAAUGUAAGAAAAGAAAAUCCACUUGACUAUGGUGUUUGCAGCAUUUUCCUUCUGCUGUUCAAGUGUUGUGAUGUCAGAUGGUCCAGUCAACAGCUGUUGGACGGCUUCUUCUUCACUCCACGCAGGUCUCUGUUCAGAAACUGUGACUACUCAGUCUAAAGCAUCCCUCAUCUGUCUAAAUUCUUACCCCACUUUAUCUUCCACCGUAGCACUCAUCCCCACCUGGAGUUAUAUUAUUGGUUCGCUUGUUUAUUGCUGCCUCCCUACUGGAAUGUGAGCUCCACGGGGCAAGGAUUUCAUCUGUCUUCUUCAUCAUGCUCUCUCUAGUGGCAAGAACAGUGCCUGGCAGGUAGCAGGCACUCGGUAAAUAAUUGUCAAAUGAAUGAAUGAAUAAAUAAAUAAGUGGAUAAAUGACUUCUGGAGAAGACAAUUUAAUUUUAGCACACUACUUGACCCAACAUGAAUAACAUUACUAUAGACAUGUUAAAUGCUUUAUAUUUAAUCAAUUUGAUUUAAUCUAUAAACAAUCAUUGCUAAACAAAGUUGGAAUAGGAAGAGGGAAAGAAAAGAUUGUGGGAAGGAAGAGUGUUGAUAACUCAACUUACAAAAUGAGUGGUUGAGAUACAUAUGAAAAGUGAUGGAACAAGAAAUAGAGGUUUAGGUAAGUUAUUUAAAGGUGUAAAGAUAAUUAAUGGAUAAAGCACACACACAAUGAAACUUUGGAAGGCAGAGAGGGAUAGCAAGGAGGUAGCAGAAUUGAGCCAUACAUUUAUCUUUUACAUUAGAGUCAAGAGAUGUUAUCUAGAGUUAAUAAAGUAAGAAAAAAGGAUGAGUAUGUAUUCUGGAGUAGUAGAGGCAAUGAGCUAAAUAAUUUUUUUUUAUUGUGGUAACAUUGGUUUAUAAAAUAAUAUAACAUUCAGGUGUCCAUCAUUAUAUGUUGAUUCCUGUGUAGAUUACAUCAUGUUCACCACCCAAAGACUAAUUACAGUCCAUCAUCACAUACAUGUGCCUAAUCACCUCUUUUGCUCUUCUGCCUACCCCUUUCCCCUCUGGUAACCACUAAUCCAUUCUAUGUCU
RNAcentral lists this long non-coding RNA (1159 nucleotides) under Equus caballus (horse). RNAcentral's name for it is "lncRNA (ENSECAG00000045080.1)". Lineage: Eukaryota; Metazoa; Chordata; Mammalia; Perissodactyla; Equidae. The record is from RNAcentral.